UGUCUCUGCAACAAGAGCGCGGGGGGCUUUCUUGGAGUGAAAGCUGCUCCCCCACAGCAUGGACAGUGCCUGAGAUGAGGCCCAGAUGGCCCUGCAAGCCUGACGGGGGAGCCACAGUCUUCAGUCACCGUGCAGGUGAGCAGUGAGCACCUCCGGGCAUCAGAGAGUCGUGGAGAGUCGUGGGGCCUGGAUUCCUGUCCUCAGGAAGCCCUGGGCCUAAGAGGGGCAUCAGACAAGAUGGAAGUGCCCCACCAUGUGGCACGUGCUCACUGAGAAAAGGCACACAGGACCAGAAGAAAGACAAGGAGUUACGACACAGCCCGAGGGAGUCAGGAAAAUCAGCAGAGCAGAUGGUUUUCAAGCUGGCUCUAAGGGACAGAACAUCAGCAAGGAGACAUCUGGACCCCGGUAAUCACAGUCAGGUUGGUUAAGUACAAAGGGGGUGGGGCGGGGCAGUGAGGAAGGGGGUGGGUGC
RNAcentral lists this long non-coding RNA (475 nucleotides) under Bos indicus x Bos taurus (hybrid cattle). Its description in RNAcentral is "lncRNA (ENSBIXG00005019711.1)". Lineage: Eukaryota; Metazoa; Chordata; Mammalia; Artiodactyla; Bovidae. The record is from RNAcentral.